AAUGAUCCUUCAAUUAUAACAGGCUGAGAAUCUCUGCUCAGGCUAUGCUGCAGCUAAGAAAGGCACCAUAGAAUACCUUUACAAGGAAACCCUGGCAGAAUUCAGAGGCUUCCAUUCCUCAGUGUCCUGAGAGUUUUUACGCCUUCCCUGCUGAGGUCUGAUGAUGUGGCUCCCAUGCUUUCCAUCUGGUGAUGUGCUCCAGAAGACACCUAGCAACCAUUAAUGAACGUUGAAUUCAGAGGACCAGACCUGCAGCAAAUCAGCUGCAUGGGGGUAGCAUAAGGGCUUGAUCUACUUACUAAGAACAGCUAUGAGAAUCAAAAUUAGAAAAAAUUCAAACAAGUUCAUUUAAAAGUACUACCAUACAUCUAGAGGAUUCAUUCAUUUCAUCUUAUGACCCAUAUUUUCCAAGUGACAGUUGUUCUGUGUUUGGAACUGAUCCUGGCUGAGUGAAUGAAAUGUGGAAAGUAGAGCCAAUUGCCAGAGUCUGAGGCUGUAUUCCCUGGCUCUGCUGGCCUGAUCUGGAUGUCUCCAGGCCAUGAACCAAAAUCUUGGGCUUCUCCAGCUGCUGGGGUUUACACUGGGAUGUUCGUAAUCCCUGGACCUGAUGAGUUUGCCAAUCCAAUCCAGUCCAGUGCAGUCCAACUGGUGUUCCUGAAUGAGAGUGAACAUUCAGGAUAACCUUUUAAGUAAUAAGCUCCAGUAUUUAUGUGCAAACAUUUUCUCCACAAAUUAGUUAUGUAGAUUUUUACGCUCAUGAUUGCAUAUAUACACACAAGAAAACUGAAUAACAUAAUGACUUCACAAAAUAACAGCUCACCAGGUGUUUACUUAAAAUCCAGUGAAAUCUGUUAUGUAGAUAUAUAUAUAUAUGUAUUUUUUUUUCUCCAAAUUUUUGCCUUUCUUAAGGGACUUUUAAUAAAAGUAAAUAUUUGGAUCAUUCUUCAUAAACACUGAGUUACCAAAAAGAUGUUGACUUUUGAAAGCUUCCAAUUAGGCCUGCUUCUUGACCUAUUUUAGGAGUUUUAUUAAACUAAUAAUAUUGUUCUCCCUGGAUUAUGAUUCUGAGGGAGACUAUGAUUCAAAGUG
Cygnus atratus (black swan) is the source of this 1089-nucleotide long non-coding RNA. RefSeq lists it as uncharacterized. NCBI's taxonomy places the organism in Eukaryota, Metazoa, Chordata, Aves, Anseriformes, Anatidae. The transcript is spliced from 6 exons. The record is from RefSeq and is a predicted model, not a curated record.